GGGAUGCAGGUUCGGCGUCUUUACUUGGAACCCGAUCCCUGUCCAAUUUCAGCCGUCGUACCUGCAUCCCGGCGAGCACUUUCGGAGAAGGAUACUAUUCUUGCCAACUUAAGGUACGACUGUCUCUCCCUUUUAAUACCAAGUUUCCGUUUGGCGAUCCUGUGAGAGAAAUAGUUGAUAAAAAUUGAAGUCUUGUAUUCAAAAACAGCUCUUUGGCUUUUCGCUUCAUUAAAUACAGAGAAUAAUGUGUGUAUGUAUGCUUUGUCGAUCUGGGUUGGUGUAUAAUUUGCUUUAUCAAUUGAUUCUGAUCAAGUUCAGUAUCUUGCUCUGCUGUACCUUCCAAUUGUAGAACGCCCGCUUGCUGUCUCUGGCUGCAGUUGGACUUUCAUCAACUGGGUGGGCUCUACUUGUUAUAAAAUAAAAAAAAAAAAUUUUUGUAAAUACGCAGCAAUGUCCGGGGCCAGCUUCAAAGUCUAAACCUUGAAGGCCUCUGGCUCGCUUUCUUGUACUCACGCAGUCACUGCUCUCUCUCAACUUUCUGUCUAUUCACUCUCUCGACUUUGCUAUUUUCUACGCAGCACAGAAGCAAAGUGCCCGCCCCUCAAUUUCGCAGCAGCUCAAUCUCCACGCAUCACAGAAGCAAUCCAUCACUCUCUCUCUCCCCCACUCUGACGACAUGAGGAAACAGUUGAGCACAAAACGAGGAUUGGGGAGGUGCAGGAGGCAUGGAAUGCCUGAGCCUGAGAAUUUUAACACGAGGAAACAUGUGAAAAGGAAUGGUCAUAUUGAAGAAGCAGCUGCUUAUAGCCCAUCUUCGCAUUCCUCAGGGGAUUUAUCUGAAGAGAACUCUACUGCUGUUACUUCAGGAGAAGUAAAUCAAAAGGAGUCAUCAAUAUAUGAUAGUUUGUUGAUGAAACUACAAUCAUGUAACAAAUCUCUUUAUGAUGCUUACAAGAAGAGAAAAAGAGAAGAAGAAGGUAAAAGUGACUCAGAAGAAGAAGAUGACUCUGGAUCUCUUAGUGUUUCCAAUGAGGAAGAUAGUGGUGAAGAAGGAACUGAUAAUGAAAGAAGUCAUAUUAUAGAUAGUAAAUUGCAAGAGCCUAGCAUGAUUAGCAUCGUGGACAGGAGUGAAGAUGCUGAAUCAGAAGAUGAUCAUGAGGCUUCUGAUGCAGAUCAAGAGAACAACUUGGGUGUCAAUAUCGAAACUGAUGUUAAGGCAUCAAUGCCUACAAGUUCUUUUCACGAUCACUUGGGCCAAAAGAUAUCAGAGGGAGAGAUUGAGAAUCUAUCAAACAAAAAGUGGGAGUAUAAAUGGGAGGUGCCUGCAUUUGACAUGUCAAAUUGCAAGUGGAUAGGGACAGGGAAGUGUUUUCUAAAGGGUGUUGACAUCGAUUCUAAUUAUGGUCUAAAGCAAAGAUUAUUUAAGCACUGGUUGGAUGAUUACAAAAUAAGUGGAGGCAAUGACUUUCAUUCAUCUAAGCAGAGAUUGUUCUUCUCCCUUUGUAACAGCUACAGGGAUAUACUGCACUGUAACAAGAAACCUUUUUAUCUCAAAGGUUUGGAAGAGGAUUCCAGUAUCAUGGACGCUUAUAUUAUGCAUUCUCUGAAUCAUGUAUUCAGAACUAGAGAUCUUAUAAGAAAGAAUGAUUCAAAAAUGGAAAAGCAUCAAGAGAGUGCUGGGGAUGAAUCACUUACUGUUGAUGGUUUCCUUGAUCAUGGAUUUACUCGUCCAAAGGUUUUGAUCUUAUUGCCUUUUAGAAAUAUAGCACUUCGGGUUGUUAGGAGGCUAAUACAACUGACGCCUCAAGCAGACAAGGUCAAUGUAGAGCAUGCUGAUCGUUUCUAUAAUCAGUUUGGAACACGGGAUGAUGAAGACAUUGUAGAUGGUGAUGAAUUCACGCAAAAUGUUGGAAAUUCAAAACGUUCGAAGUCUUCAAAACCAUGCGACUAUCAAGCACUUUUUAGUGGAAAUUAUGAUGAUGACUUUAUGAUAGGCAUUAAGUUCACAAGGAGGAGCAUAAAAUUAUACAGUGAUUUCUAUUCCUCUGACAUGAUUGUCGCUUCUCCUCUCAACUUGCAUGCUAGAAUUGAGAAGGCCAUACUUGACAAGGAAACAGAUGUUGAUUAUCUUUCUUCCAUAGAGGUUCUUGUUAUUGAUCAUGCAGAUGUAAUAACAAUGCAGAAUUGGAACUUUCUCACUAAGGUUCUCGGACAAUUGAACCAUAUACCUUCUAAGCAACAUGGGACUGAUAUUAUGCGAAUUAGAAAGUGGUAUCUGGAUGGAAAUGCAAGAUUUUAUCGGCAAACAAUUGUUUUAGGUCAUUAUGUAAACCCAGACAUUAAUGCUUCAUUCAAUCACCAAUGUGCUAACCACCAAGGGAAGGUAAAGUUAGUUUGCGAGUAUAAAGGUGUUCUUUCAAAAGUCUUACUCCAAGUGCGACAGGUUUACGAGCGAUUUGAUGUAAACUCAAUGGCAAAUGUUGAUGAUGCUCGUCUUGAAUAUUUCAUUAAAAUGGUGUUCCCAAAGAUCAAAGAUUCUACUCAGGUAUUUAUUUUAUUUUAUUUUUAUUGCAAACAGAAAUAGGAAUUUUUUUGUGCAGCUAUGCUUUGAGCAUCCAUCCGUGGAACUUUUGUGCAGGGAGGAAUUAUGCUAUUUAUUAGUUCUUACUUCGAAUAUGUGAGACUUCGCAACUAUUUGAAGUCACAGAAUGCAUCUUUCUGCGUACUAGCAGACUACACUGAACCGAGUGACGUAUCUCGUGCUCGAGUUUGGUUUUUUGAAGGGAGAAAGAAGAUCAUGCUUUAUACCGAGAGAGUUCAUUUCUUCCACAGAUAUAAGAUUCGGGGCAUUCAAAACUUGAUUAUCUAUUCUCUUCCGGAGAGGAAGGAGUUCUAUCCUGAGGUGGUUAACAUGCUUGAAGGGGCCAAUAACAUGACAUGCACUGUACUUUUUUCUCAAUUUGAUCAAAUACGGCUGGAAAGAAUCGUUGGAACUGCUUCUGCAAGAAGGAUGAUCAAAUCGGAAAAGAAUGUCUUUUUAUUCUGUUAGAAGACUUGUUCGUUCUCUAUAAAGUUUCACUACUGCAACAUGGAAAGUCUGGAAGCUCGACGGGCUAACGAAAACCAUUUGAUUGCUAACAACUCAUCUGGCAGAAGAAUUGAUAUAAUUAGCUUAGAAUGACAAAAUUAUGAUGGUAGCAUUCUAAGAGGGAUUUUGCAAAAAAAAAAAAGUGUGGGUGGGGGGCCAAAGCAGAAGAUAAAAGGGCUUUCUGAGUUGUUCAGAGCGCCUUGAGAAAUGGUUGCUACUGUGGAAAACUGCUUUGGUUACUUAGAAACUGCUAGUUAUUAGCGUUUUAUUUAUUUUUCUUGGUUUCAUUGAAUAACUAAUAGAUUUUAUAAUUAUUAAAUUAAUAAUUUUUUUAUUGUUU
RNAcentral lists this unclassified non-coding RNA (3428 nucleotides) under Hevea brasiliensis (rubber tree). The record is from RNAcentral. Lineage: Eukaryota; Viridiplantae; Streptophyta; Magnoliopsida; Malpighiales; Euphorbiaceae.